GAUGCUUCUCAACAACAACUGUUAGAACCCCAUUUUCGCAUUUAGCAGUAAUGGCAGACACAUUGGCAUUUUCAGGUAACCGGAACUUCCUCAGCAGCUUCUGAGGUGCCCUCCUCUCAAGCCUUAUGUACUUGCAGCCUUCCUCCUCACCCUCUUCGCGUUUCCUCUUCCCUCCACUUUUAAUCACCAGCGUGUUCUGAUCUUCAACAGUCACCUGAAUAUCAGACUUGCACAAUCCAGGCACAUCCAUGUAGAAAAUGUACUCUUUAGGGCUGUCCAAGAUGUCCGUAGCAAUGUUACCCGCACCGUUGUUCUCGUUCGUAUCAUUUGAACGCGAAUGGAUCAUGAACUUCUCGAUGCUCUCAGGGAUAUUGAACAAAUGGCUCAUUGCAUCAAACAAAUUCGAGUCUGCUAUUCGGCUCAUCUUCUCAAAUUAUCAAUUAGCUCGACAACUCUAUAAAAGGAGUUAGUUCCUUGAAAAAAUUGAUGAAAAAACAAGAGAAAUUGCGAGAAAAUUCGUGCGCAGGAAGAUAACACAGGAGCUGUAGUUAAU
RNAcentral lists this unclassified non-coding RNA (553 nucleotides) under Hevea brasiliensis (rubber tree). The record is from RNAcentral. Lineage: Eukaryota; Viridiplantae; Streptophyta; Magnoliopsida; Malpighiales; Euphorbiaceae.